AGAGUUUGAUCCUGGCUCAGGACGAACGCUGGCGGCAUGCCUAACACAUGCAAGUCUAGGGGUAGCAAUACCACUGGCGCACGGGUGAGUAACACGUAGGUUAUCUGCCCCUAUCACAGACAUAACCUCGGGAAACCGAGGCUAAUAUCUGAUGAGGUCGCGAGAUCAAAGCUUCGGCGGAUAGGGAUGAGCCUGCGGCUGAUUAGCUAGUUGGUGAGGUAAUGGCUCACCAAGGCGACGAUCAGUAGCUGGUCUGAGAGGACGAACAGCCACACUGGAACUGAGACACGGUCCAGACUCCUACGGGAGGCAGCAGUGAGGAAUAUUGGUCAAUGGGAGCAAUCCUGAACCAGCAAUGCCGCGUGUGGGAUGACAGGGCUUCGCCUUGUAAACCACUGUCGGAUGGGACGAAAGGAACCCUCGGGGUUCUGGGACGGUACCAUCAAAGGAAGGGUCGGCUAACUACGUGCCAGCAGCCGCGGUAAUACGUAGGACCCGAGCGUUGUCCGGAUUUACUGGGUAUAAAGGGUGCGUANGCGGCCUUGUGCGUCAGAGGUGAAAUAUCCGGG
This 569-nucleotide ribosomal RNA is filed under the name uncultured freshwater bacterium. RNAcentral describes it as "bacterial SSU rRNA". It matches the Rfam family "Bacterial small subunit ribosomal RNA", at positions 8 to 607 of the family's 1533-position model. The record is from RNAcentral.